GACGAACGCUGGCGGCGUGCUUAACACAUGCAAGUCGAACGGAAAGGCUCCAGCUUGCUGGAGUACUCGAGUGGCGAACGGGUGAGUAACACGUGGGUAAUCUGCCCUGCACUCUGGGAUAAGCCUGGGAAACUGGGUCUAAUACUGGAUAUGACCUUUCUCCUUAUGGGGUUUGGUGGAAAGUUUUUCGGUGUAGGAUGAGCCCGCGGCCUAUCAGCUUGUUGGUGGGGUGAUGGCCUACCAAGGCGACGACGGGUAGCCGGCCUGAGAGGGUGAUCGGCCACAUUGGGACUGAGAUACGGCCCAGGCUCCUACGGGAGGCAGCAGUGGGGAAUAUUGCACAAUGGGCGGAAGCCUGAUGCAGCGACGCCGCGUGAGGGAUGACGGCCUUCGGGUUGUAAACCUCUUUCAGCAGGGACGAAGCGUAAGUGACGGUACCUGCAGAAGAAGCACCGGCUAACUAUGUG
RNAcentral lists this ribosomal RNA (467 nucleotides) under uncultured bacterium. RNAcentral's name for it is "partial 16S ribosomal RNA". It matches the Rfam family "Bacterial small subunit ribosomal RNA", at positions 28 to 507 of the family's 1533-position model. The record is from RNAcentral.